This is a long non-coding RNA of Humulus lupulus (European hop), 480 nucleotides long. RefSeq lists it as uncharacterized. The transcript has 3 exons. The record is from RefSeq and is a predicted model, not a curated record. NCBI's taxonomy places the organism in Eukaryota, Viridiplantae, Streptophyta, Magnoliopsida, Rosales, Cannabaceae.
UGUUGUAUGAGGCUUGUAAAAGAACAUCUUAAUUGGGGAACAAAAUCAGAGCUCAAAUCAGAGGUUCUCCUGGGGAUAAAGGAGAUUGGAAGUGUGUUAUAUUGGAUGGGGCUUCUUGAUAUAGUGUUGAGAGAAGUAGAUACCUGUCACUUCAUGCAAAUAGCCCCUUGGCUGGGUUUACUCCCCAGUGCAGAUGGGCAAGUAUUACAUUCUCAAGAUGGUGGAGAUAGUCCAAUUUUCAGUCUCUUUAAAUCAGUCACUGCUGCAAUAUUAUCUAAGCCAGGGUGCCCAAAUCCAACCUCUUUCAGCACCCUAUCAAAAUAAGCAGAAGCUGCAGAUCUUUUAUACAAGGCAAAUAUGAAUACUAGAAGUGUGCUUGAAUAUGCCCUUGCCUUUACAAGUGCAGCAUUGGAUAAGUAUUGCAGUAAAUGGAGUGCUAUUCCCAAAACAUGAUUUGUUGACAUUACAACUUCAAAGGAU